UGGUCGUCGAUUGUCCCUCUGCUUACAACAUCAUCCUCGGCCGCACCGCUCUAAAUGCUUUCCAAGCUAUCAUAUCCACUUUCCAUCUUGCCGUUAAAUUCCCCACCAACCUUGGGGUUGGCACAGUGAGGGGUGAGCAGACCAUGGCCAGGGAAUGUUACGUUGUUUCACUUAAAGAAGUCAAGCUAAAGAAGGCUAUGAUCACUGAAGGGCUAGACAUCAGGGACGAGGAUGAGCUGGUCAGAGGGGAACCAGUGGAAGAGCUUGUCGAAGUCCACAUUGAUCCCACCAACCCGACAAAAACUACCAAGAUCGGCAGCCAACUAUCCUCUCAGGCCAAGGCCAACCUUACCGCCUUCUUGAUUGAGCACAAUAAUGUAUUUGCCUGGGCCCACUCUGA
This 400-nucleotide unclassified non-coding RNA is filed under the name uncultured bacterium. Its description in RNAcentral is "contains 16S-23S intergenic spacer region". The record is from RNAcentral.